This 253-nucleotide ribosomal RNA is filed under the name uncultured bacterium. RNAcentral describes it as "partial 16S ribosomal RNA". It matches the Rfam family "Bacterial small subunit ribosomal RNA", at positions 524 to 776 of the family's 1533-position model. The record is from RNAcentral.
UACGGGGGGGGCAAGCGUUGUUCGGAAUUACUGGGCGUAAAGGGCUCGUAGGCGGCCAACUAAGUCAGACGUGAAAUCCCCAGGCUCAACCUGGGAACUGCGUCUGAUACUGGAUGGCUUGAAUCCGGGAGAGGGAUGCAGAAUUCCAGGUGUAGCGGUGAAAUGCGUAGAUAUCGGGAGGAACAUCGAUGGCGAAGGCAAUCACCUGGGCCUGAACUGACACUGAGACACGAAAGCGUGGGUAGCAAACAGG